UGGGGAAUAUUGGACAAUGGGCGAAAGCCUGAUCCAGCCAUGCCGCGUGAGUGACGAAGGCCUUCGGGUUGUAAAGCACUUUCAGCGAGGAAGAACGCCUAACGGUUAAUACCCGCUAGGAAAGACAUCACUCGCAGAAGAAGCACCGGCUAACUCCGUGCCAGCAGCCGCGGUAAUACGGAGGGUGCAAGCGUUAAUCGGAAUUACUGGGCGUAAAGCGCGCGUAGGUGGCUUGAUAAGCCGGUUGUGAAAGCCCCGGGCUCAACCUGGGAACGGCAUCCGGAACUGUCAAGCUAGAGUGCAGGAGAGGAAGGUAGAAUUCCCGGUGUAGCGGUGAAAUGCGUAUAGAUCGGGAGGAAUACCAGUGGCGAAGGCGGCCUUCUGGACUGACACUGACACUGAGGUGCGAAAGCGUGGGUAGCAAACAGGAUUAGAUACCCGAGUAGUCCCUGAGCGGGCUGGCAAGGCGCAU
This 472-nucleotide ribosomal RNA is filed under the name uncultured bacterium. Its description in RNAcentral is "bacterial SSU rRNA". It matches the Rfam family "Bacterial small subunit ribosomal RNA", at positions 355 to 825 of the family's 1533-position model. The record is from RNAcentral.